AGAUUGAACGCUGGCGGCAGGCCUAACACAUGCAAGUCGAGCGGUAGAGAGGUGCUUGCACCUCUUGAGAGCGGCGGACGGGUGAGUAAAGCCUAGGAAUCUGCCUGGUAGUGGGGGAUAACGCUCGGAAACGGACGCUAAUACCGCAUACGUCCUACGGGAGAAAGCAGGGGACCUUCGGGCCUUGCGCUAUCAGAUGAGCCUAGGUCGGAUUAGCUAGUUGGUGAGGUAAUGGCUCACCAAGGCGACGAUCCGUAACUGGUCUGAGAGGAUGAUCAGUCACACUGGAACUGAGACACGGUCCAGACUCCUACGGGAGGCAGCGAGUAGGGGGAAUAUUGGACAAGUGGGACGAAAGCCUGAU
RNAcentral lists this ribosomal RNA (364 nucleotides) under uncultured soil bacterium. RNAcentral's name for it is "bacterial SSU rRNA". It matches the Rfam family "Bacterial small subunit ribosomal RNA", at positions 26 to 387 of the family's 1533-position model. The record is from RNAcentral.